Aphanomyces invadans is the source of this 45-nucleotide non-coding RNA. The record is from Rfam. Lineage: Eukaryota; Oomycota; Saprolegniomycetes; Saprolegniales; Verrucalvaceae.
CAACUGGCUUUUCUAAAAGCCACCCACCUCCAAAGAAAUGCAUCU